This 497-nucleotide ribosomal RNA is filed under the name uncultured bacterium. RNAcentral's name for it is "partial 16S ribosomal RNA". It matches the Rfam family "Bacterial small subunit ribosomal RNA", at positions 28 to 507 of the family's 1533-position model. The record is from RNAcentral.
GAUGAACGCUGGCGGCGUGCCUAAUACAUGCAAGUCGAGCGAACAGACGAGGAGCUUGCUCCUCUGACGUUAGCGGCGGACGGGUGAGUAACACGUGGAUAACCUACCUAUAAGACUGGGAUAACUUCGGGAAACCGGAGCUAAUACCGGAUAAUAUAUUGAACCGCAUGGUUCAAUAGUGAAAGACGGUUUUGCUGUCACUUAUAGAUGGAUCCGCGCCGCAUUAGCUAGUUGGUAAGGUAACGGCUUACCAAGGCAACGAUGCGUAGCCGACCUGAGAGGGUGAUCGGCCACACUGGAACUGAGACACGGUCCAGACUCCUACGGGAGGCAGCAGUAGGGAAUCUUCCGCAAUGGGCGAAAGCCUGACGGAGCAACGCCGCGUGAGUGAUGAAGGUCUUCGGAUCGUAAAACUCUGUUAUUGGGAAAGAACAAAUGUGUAAGUAACUAUGCACGUCUUGACGGUACCUAAUCAGAAAGCCACGGCUAACUACGUG